GGUGGCUCAGUGACAGAGCGCUUGCCUUGUAUGCAUGAGGCCCUGGGUUCAAUUCCUCAGCACCA
This 65-nucleotide transfer RNA is filed under the name Dipodomys ordii (Ord's kangaroo rat). It matches the Rfam family "tRNA". Rfam says of the family: Transfer RNA (tRNA) molecules are approximately 80 nucleotides in length. The record is from Rfam by way of RNAcentral. Lineage: Eukaryota; Metazoa; Chordata; Mammalia; Rodentia; Heteromyidae.